UGCAGCUGAAAAUCUUGAUGACAUUCUAAACCGAAUCCAAAUACUUGAAAGAAAAAUGCAAGAGUGUUCGUGUGGAAAACUUCCAACAGUGAACGUUACCGUUUCUCCCCCACCACUUCCGGUUGGUGACCCCCUUCGCCAGAGGUUGCUGGAUGAACUGAGAAUCAGUGAUGGCGGUGAAUGUGUCAGUUACGCUCUGCGGUACUAUAGCCAAUGUUCGGAGAAAUGAUGAUCAACAGAAACAUAAAAUGUAAUGUCUUUUAUAUGUUGUCAACACAAGUUUAGUUUCUAAAGAUUUGUU
Molecule: long non-coding RNA, 301 nt
Organism: Saccostrea cuccullata (small rock oyster)
Lineage: Eukaryota; Metazoa; Mollusca; Bivalvia; Ostreida; Ostreidae
Exons: 3
Source: RefSeq, a predicted model, not a curated record